UGGAUUAAUGAAAAAGGUUUAGAAUUUUUAUAUGGUUGGAUGGGAUAAGAGACACGAGUAUGCUUAGCAUAUUGACAAAUUUCACACGAAAAAUUAUCGACAUUUUUAUUGAUAAAUAAGGAAGGGAACAAUUUCUUUAAAUAAUGGAAACUAGGAUGUCCUAGUCUAUUAUGCCACAACAUGAUUUUAUUGGAAGUAGAAAAUAAUUCACUAGUCAAAGC
RNAcentral lists this long non-coding RNA (221 nucleotides) under Olea europaea (common olive). RNAcentral describes it as "long non-coding RNA (OEUR_LNC011452)". The record is from RNAcentral. Lineage: Eukaryota; Viridiplantae; Streptophyta; Magnoliopsida; Lamiales; Oleaceae.